Hordeum vulgare subsp. vulgare (domesticated barley) is the source of this 580-nucleotide long non-coding RNA. RefSeq lists it as uncharacterized. The record is from RefSeq and is a predicted model, not a curated record. Lineage: Eukaryota; Viridiplantae; Streptophyta; Magnoliopsida; Poales; Poaceae. The transcript has 4 exons.
CCACCAUCCCUCUUCGCACCUGCCUCCUCUCUCCUCUAGCGCAUGGAGGGGAUAACUGAUGGCUACUUCCCCCUCCCCUCCUAGCCUUGCGGGCAUACGUGGUUCACCCGUCCGAUACUGCACGGCCUCUGCACCCUGGGGUUCGCGGCCCGGGCGGUAAUCAAGUCGUUCUGCAACGGGGAUCCAACGGCUGUGCAGAACAUAUUUGGCGGGUUCCUGCUGCAUGUCUACCCCGACGAAACGCUGGUCACCGAGAUGUGGGUCGAUGGCUAGAGGGUGCAGUACCAGACCAAGGUGAAAGAGCGCGACCGCGCCGUGCUCUCCGGAUACGUGUUGCUCAAACAACACAUCCCCUCAUCAUUGUGAUCGUUGGUGUUGCCGCUGUUGUUGUCAUGGGAUCAGUGCCUCACCACUUCAAUGUCAUGAUUCUUGGCCCAAGGCAGCCUCUGUAUGGAGGUGUCCAUUGUAUUGUUGGGAUAGUAGCAAAUGUGACAUUGUUCUAUUGUGUAAUUCUGUCCGUUCUUGCUAUAUUCCUGUGUAAAGAAAUGUAUUCAAGAGAUGAGUUAUUGUGUUAUGUAAA